AUCGCUUCUUGGCCUUUUGGCUAUGAUCAAGUGUAGCAUCUGUUCUUAUCAGUUUAGUAAGAAUGACAGUUCCCGUCGUGAUCUUGUCUACCGAUCCCCCUCAAAAGAGCUCUCCAAUUUGGUCCUGAAACACCCCUGUAAAGAUAAGGUGGGUACGUUUAUCUCAUUUUCUACAGGAGAAAACUAAU
Small nuclear RNA from Phyllostomus discolor (pale spear-nosed bat), 188 nucleotides. RefSeq annotates it as U2 spliceosomal RNA. The record is from RefSeq and is a predicted model, not a curated record. The transcript has a single exon. Lineage: Eukaryota; Metazoa; Chordata; Mammalia; Chiroptera; Phyllostomidae.